AGAACGAACGCUGGCGGCAGGCUUAACACAUGCAAGUCGAACGCCCCGCAAGGGGAGUGGCAGACGGGUGAGUAACGCGUGGGAAUCUACCCAGUUCUACGGAAUAACACAGGGAAACUUGUGCUAAUACCGUAUACGCCCUACGGGGGAAAGAUUUAUCGGGAUUGGAUGAGCCCGCGUUGGAUUAGCUAGUUGGUGGGGUAAUGGCCUACCAAGGCGACGAUCCAUAGCUGGUCUGAGAGGAUGAUCAGCCACACUGGGACUGAGACACGGCCCAGACUCCUACGGGAGGCAGCAGUGGGGAAUAUUGGACAAUGGGCGCAAGCCUGAUCCAGCCAUGCCGCGUGAGUGAUGAAGGCCUUAGGGUUGUAAAGCUCUUUCAGUGGGGAAGAUAAUGACGGUACCCACAGAAGAAGCCCGGCUAACUUCGUGCCAGCAGCCGC
RNAcentral lists this ribosomal RNA (443 nucleotides) under uncultured bacterium. RNAcentral's name for it is "SSU rRNA". It matches the Rfam family "Bacterial small subunit ribosomal RNA", at positions 26 to 518 of the family's 1533-position model. The record is from RNAcentral.